AUGCGGGGGGAUCGAACCUUGCUGUUGCAGCACCUCCCACAAAGAGCCGCAUCCGGCGCGACGCACACCACAAGACCAAAAUCACCAGGAGAGGAGCACGGGCUACCACCCCGAAGCUCCGGAUCCAGCCGCACGAAGAUGCCACCCCGAGCUGCCACCACCAGAUCCAUCCGAAGUUGCCACACGAGGUCCAGCUCCAGAUCCGCCCGAAGCAGCCACCGCCAGGACCAAACGGGGCAGCCCGCCACACAGCCGCACGAGCGUCGUCCCGCAGGAGGUCGCCGGCGAGGUCGUCGAGGUACUCCAGCCGCCAGCCCGUCGUAG
Molecule: ribosomal RNA, 324 nt
Filed under: Triticum aestivum (bread wheat)
Lineage: Eukaryota; Viridiplantae; Streptophyta; Magnoliopsida; Poales; Poaceae
Description: partial small subunit ribosomal RNA
Source: RNAcentral